AUAGCGUAUAUUAAAGUUGUUGCGGUUAAAAAGCUCGUAGUUGAAUUUGUGUCCCACGCUGUCGGUUCACCGCUCGCGGUGUUUAACUGACAUGAUUGUGGGACGUCCUACCGGUGGGCUUAGCUCGUCUUCGGGCGGGCGGCCCAACUAAUAUCCCAUCGCGGUGCUCUUUAUUGAGUGUCGAGGUGGGCCGGUACGUUUACUUUGAACAAAUUAGAGUGCUUAAAGCAGGCUAUUCUCGCCUGAAUACUGUGUGCAUGGAAUAAUGGAAUAGGACCUCGGUUCUAUUUUGUUGGUUUUCGGAACCCCGAGGUAAUGAUUAAUAGGGACAGAUGGGGGCAUUCGUAUUGCGACGUUAGAGGUGAAAUUCUUGGAUCGUCGCAAGACGGACAGAAGCGAAAGCAUUUGCCAAAAAUGUUUUCUUUAAUCAAGAACGAAAGUUAGAGGUUCGAAGGCGAUCAGAUACCGCCCUAGUUCUAACCAUAAACGAUGCCAGCUAGCGAUCCGCCGAAGUUCCUCCGAUGACUCGGCGGGCAGCUUCCGGGAAACCAAAGCUUUUGGGUUCCGGGGGAAGUAUGGUUGCAAAGCUGAAACUUAAAGGAAUUGACGGAAGGGCACCACCAGGAGUGGAGCCUGCGGCUUAAUUUGACUCAACACGGGAAACCUCACCAGGCCCGGACACCGGAAGGAUUGACAGAUUGAUAGCUCUUUCUUGAUUCGGUGGGUGGUGGUGCAUGGCCGUUCUUAGUUGGUGGAGCGAUUUGUCUGGUUAAUUCCGAUAACGAACGAGACUCUAGCCUGCUAACUAGGCGUACUUUCCGGUAUCUUGAAGGUCCUCGGCCUACGGGUCGGGCGGUCCUUACUACCGGCGUACAAAUAAUUCUUCUUAGAGGGAC
This 896-nucleotide ribosomal RNA is filed under the name Megalodontes cephalotes. RNAcentral's name for it is "SSU rRNA". It matches the Rfam family "Eukaryotic small subunit ribosomal RNA", at positions 594 to 1420 of the family's 1831-position model. Lineage: Eukaryota; Metazoa; Arthropoda; Insecta; Hymenoptera; Megalodontesidae. The record is from RNAcentral.